This 477-nucleotide ribosomal RNA is filed under the name uncultured bacterium. RNAcentral describes it as "partial 16S ribosomal RNA". It matches the Rfam family "Bacterial small subunit ribosomal RNA", at positions 28 to 507 of the family's 1533-position model. The record is from RNAcentral.
GAUUAACGCUGGCGGCGUGCAUAACACAUGCAAGUCGAACGAUGAAACUUUAAUGAACCCUUCGGGGAGAAUUAAAGCGGAUUAGUGGCGAACGGGUGAGUAACGCGUGAGUAACCUGCCUUACACAAGGGGAUAGCCUUUGGAAACGAAGAAUAAUACCCUAUAAAACCAUACAAGCACAUGCAAUUAUGGUCAAAGUGAUAGCGAUGUAAGAUGGACUUGCGUCUGAUUAGCUAGUUGGUGAGAUAAAAGCCCACCAAGGCAACGAUCAGUAGCCGGCUUGAGAGAGUGUACGGCCACAUUGGGACUGAGACACGGCCCAGACUCCUACGGGAGGCAGCAGUGGGGAAUUUUGCACAAUGGGGGAAACCCUGAUGCAGCGACGCCGCGUGAUUUAGAAGGCCUUCGGGUUGUAAAAAUCUUUUGUAUAGGAAGAAAAUGACAGUACUAUACGAAUAAGGUCCGGCUAAUUACGUG